RNAcentral lists this ribosomal RNA (51 nucleotides) under Phytolacca americana (American pokeweed). Its description in RNAcentral is "partial 26S ribosomal RNA". Lineage: Eukaryota; Viridiplantae; Streptophyta; Magnoliopsida; Caryophyllales; Phytolaccaceae. RNAcentral also lists the same sequence under 1 other name. The record is from RNAcentral.
UUGCGACCCCAGGUCAGGCGGGGCUACCCGCUGAGUUUAAGCAUAUCAAUA